This 490-nucleotide ribosomal RNA is filed under the name uncultured bacterium. RNAcentral's name for it is "partial 16S ribosomal RNA". It matches the Rfam family "Bacterial small subunit ribosomal RNA", at positions 30 to 507 of the family's 1533-position model. The record is from RNAcentral.
AUUGAACGCUGGCGGCAGGCCUAACACAUGCAAGUCGAACGGUAACAGGAAGCAGCUUGCUGCUUUGCUGACGAGUGGCGGACGGGUGAGUAAUGUCUGGGAAACUGCCCGAUGGAGGGGGAUAACUACUGGAAACGGUAGCUAAUACCGCAUAACGUCGCAAGACCAAAGAGGGGGACCUUAGGGCCUCUUGCCAUCGGAUGUGCCCAGAUGGGAUUAGCUAGUAGGUGGGGUAACGGCUCACCUAGGCGACGAUCCGUAGCUGGUCUGAGAGGAUGACCAGCCACACUGGAACUGAGACACGGUCCAGACUCCUACGGGAGGCAGCAGUGGGGAAUAUUGCACAAUGGGCGCAAGCCUGAUGCAGCCAUGCCGCGUGUAUGAAGAAGGCCUUCGGGUUGUAAAGUACUUUCAGCGGGGAGGAAGGGAGUUAAGUUAAUACCUGUGCUCAUUGACGUUACCCGCAGAAGAAGCACCGGCUAACUCCGUG